RNAcentral lists this ribosomal RNA (119 nucleotides) under Erpetoichthys calabaricus (reedfish). The record is from RNAcentral. Lineage: Eukaryota; Metazoa; Chordata; Cladistia; Polypteriformes; Polypteridae.
GCUUAUGGCCACACUAGUGUGAACGUGCCCAAUCUCGUCUGAUCUUGGAAGCUAAACACGCUCUGGCUUGGCCAGUAGUUGGAUGGGAGACCACCUGGAAACCCUGAGGGCUAUAAGCU